Molecule: non-coding RNA, 512 nt
Organism: Prunus mume (Japanese apricot)
Lineage: Eukaryota; Viridiplantae; Streptophyta; Magnoliopsida; Rosales; Rosaceae
Source: RefSeq, a predicted model, not a curated record
UCACAGACUUCACUCUCCGCAGAGAGUGGACCUCUCUAGGUUGCGGCACUGUUGCGAAGGCAUCAUAUUAUGAGUAACAGUUCUUCUGCUCCACGGACUUGGUUCAGAUCAGGAGCCAUUAGACCGGGAGAAGCAUUUGGUUACUUCAAUUUACAUGUUGGUCUUCGUACUGUUCGACCGUGAUUUCUUUGUAUAAACAAAUGAGUUAAUUGUUAUUGUCAUUUGAAUCAGGGUGGACUUGGGUUUCAUUCGAGUUUACAUCCUUGUUCAAAUUACAUAAAUGGAAGAUGGUCUACUAUAUGUGUUAGUUAGAAUAUCACCCUCUGAAGUGACACCGAAUUUUGAAUAUUAAAUUUGAAAGUUGAAGAUUUUGGUCAGAUCAUGAUACUCGGUUACCUUGCGAUACAAUAGAUUUGUGAUUGUAUAAUGUUUGUACCAAAUUGUAUUUAGAUGAAAUUUGUAAUUUACUUUUGACACCAAAAUAAUAAAAGGUUACCUUGUGUGUUGCUUUA